GAUGAACGCUGGCGGCGUGCCUAAUACAUGCAAGUCGAGCGAACGGACGAGAAGCUUGCUUCUCUGAUGUUAGCGGCGGAUGGGUGAGUAACACGUGGAUAACCUACCUAUAAGACUGGGAUAACUUCGGGAAACCGGAGCUAAUACCGGAUAAUAUUUUGAACCGCAUGGUUCAAAAGUGAAAGACGGUCUUGCUGUCACUUAUAGAUGGAUCCGCGCUGCAUUAGCUAGUCGGUAAGGUAACGGCUUACCAAGGCAACGAUGCAUAGCCGACCUGAGAGGGUGAUCGGCCACACUGGAACUGAGACACGGUCCAGACUCCUACGGGAGGCAGCAGUAGGGAAUCUUCCGCAAUGGGCGAAAGCCUGACGGAGCAACGCCGCGUGAGUGAUGAAGGUCUUCGGAUCGUAAAACUCUGUUAUUAGGGAAGAACAUAUGUGUAAGUAACUGUGCACAUCUUGACGGUACCUAAUCAGAAAGCCACGGCUAACUACGUG
RNAcentral lists this ribosomal RNA (497 nucleotides) under uncultured bacterium. RNAcentral describes it as "partial 16S ribosomal RNA". It matches the Rfam family "Bacterial small subunit ribosomal RNA", at positions 28 to 507 of the family's 1533-position model. The record is from RNAcentral.